Molecule: small nuclear RNA, 104 nt
Organism: Vulpes vulpes (red fox)
Lineage: Eukaryota; Metazoa; Chordata; Mammalia; Carnivora; Canidae
Source: Ensembl
GUGCUUGCUUUGGCAGCACAUAUACUAAAAUUGGAACAACACAGAGAUUAACCUGGUCCCUGUACAAAGAUGACAGGCAAAUUCAUGAAGCAAUCCAUAUUUUA